Molecule: transfer RNA, 71 nt
Filed under: Loxodonta africana (African savanna elephant)
Lineage: Eukaryota; Metazoa; Chordata; Mammalia; Proboscidea; Elephantidae
Rfam family: tRNA
About the family: Transfer RNA (tRNA) molecules are approximately 80 nucleotides in length. Their secondary structure includes four short double-helical elements and three loops (D, anti-codon, and T loops). Further hydrogen bonds mediate the characteristic L-shaped molecular structure. tRNAs have two regions of fundamental functional importance: the anti-codon, which is responsible for specific mRNA codon recognition, and the 3' end, to which the tRNAs corresponding amino acid is attached (by aminoacyl-tRNA synthetases). tRNAs cope with the degeneracy of the genetic code in two manners: having more than one tRNA (with a specific anti-codon) for a particular amino acid; and 'wobble' base-pairing, i.e. permitting non-standard base-pairing at the 3rd anti-codon position.
Source: Rfam by way of RNAcentral
UCGUUGGUGGUCCAGUGAUAUAACUCUCACCUUUCAUGUGAGAGACCCGGGUUCAAUUCCCAGCCAGUGCA